RNAcentral lists this ribosomal RNA (521 nucleotides) under uncultured bacterium. Its description in RNAcentral is "bacterial SSU rRNA". It matches the Rfam family "Bacterial small subunit ribosomal RNA", at positions 8 to 524 of the family's 1533-position model. The record is from RNAcentral.
AGAGUUUGAUCCUGGCUCAGGAUGAACGCUAGCGGCAGGCUUAACACAUGCAAGUCGAGGGGUAACAUUGUAGCUUGCUACAGAUGACGACCGGCGAACGGGUGCGUAACGCGUAUAGAAUCUGCCUUGUACAUGAGGAUAGCCUUUAGAAAUGAAGAUUAAUACUCCAUAAUGCUAAUAUGUGGCAUCACAAAUUAGUUAAAGAUUUAUCGGUACAAGAUGACUAUGCGUCCUAUUAGCUAGAUGGUAAGGUAACGGCUUACCAUGGCAACGAUAGGUAGGGGGUCUGAGAGGAUUAUCCCCCACACUGGUACUGAGACACGGACCAGACUCCUACGGGAGGCAGCAGUGAGGAAUAUUGGUCAAUGGAGGCAACUCUGAACCAGCCAUGCCGCGUGCAGGAUGACUGCCCUAUGGGUUGUAAACUGCUUUUAUACAGGAAGAAACUUAGCUACGUGUAGUUAACUGACGGUACUGUAAGAAUAAGGACCGGCUAACUCCGUGCCAGCAGCCGCGGUAAU